GACGGAGGAUGCAAGCGUUAUCCGGAAUGAUUGGGCGUAAAGCGUUCGCAGGUGGCUGUUCAAGUCUGCUGUCAAAGACCGGGGCUUAACCCUAGAAAGGCAGUGGAAACUGAACGGCUGGAGUGCAGUAGGGGUAGAGGGAAUUCCCAGUGUAGCGGGGAAAUGCGUAGAUAGUGGGAAGAACACCGGUGGCGAAAGCGCUCUGCUGGACUGCAACUGACGAUGAGGGACGAAAGAUAGGGGAGCGAAAGGG
RNAcentral lists this ribosomal RNA (253 nucleotides) under uncultured bacterium. RNAcentral describes it as "partial 16S ribosomal RNA". It matches the Rfam family "Bacterial small subunit ribosomal RNA", at positions 524 to 776 of the family's 1533-position model. The record is from RNAcentral.